CUGCCAUGGACCCUCGCUCUAAGCAUACGCUAGAGGAAGAGGAUGCUGAGGAACCGGAUCAAUGAGAAAAUCCUUGCUGCACAUGAUCCUGCAGAAACAGAACAGCUGACAGCCUGGUGUCUUCGGCAAGGAGGGACGCAAGCAGACUGACGAGCCAAGAGGGGAGGAGAGCGAGGAAUCGGAGGAUGAGACUGUUUCACUUCAAACGAGGAAGAAGAUGAAGCUAACGCCCCUGGAGAAGCUUUUCGCUGAGGAUGAUAUCCUGAAAUGGAAGCAGUUUGACGAGGAGGAAGUGCAUCUCAUUGACAACAGUAACUUUGAACGCAUGAAAACUACGCUACAGCGCGAGUCGGGAUGCAGCGGCAUCAGAAGAGAAGUGAAAUACGUGCAAGGCCGCGCUGAUCUCCGCAAUCUGAAGCCUACAAUG
This is a long non-coding RNA of Cololabis saira (Pacific saury), 427 nucleotides long. RefSeq lists it as uncharacterized. Lineage: Eukaryota; Metazoa; Chordata; Actinopteri; Beloniformes; Belonidae. The transcript has 4 exons. The record is from RefSeq and is a predicted model, not a curated record.